CCUACGGGAGGCUGCAGUGGGGAAUAUUGGACAAUGGGCGAAAGCCUGAUCCAGCCAUGCCGCGUGUGUGAAGAAGGCCUUCGGGUUGUAAAGCACUUUCAGUGGGGAAGAAAGCCUUGGGGCUAAUACCCUCGAGGAAGGACAUCACCCACAGAAGAAGCACCGGCUAACUCCGUGCCAGCAGCCGCGGUAAUACGGAGGGUGCGAGCGUUAAUCGGAAUUACUGGGCGUAAAGCGCGCGUAGGCGGUCUGAUAAGCCGGUUGUGAAAGCCCCGGGCUCAACCUGGGAACGGCAUCCGGAACUGUCAGGCUAGAGUGCAGGAGAGGAAGGUAGAAUUCCCGGAGUAGCGGUGAAAUGCGUAGAGAUCGGGAGGAAUACCAGUGGCGAAGGCGGCCUUCUGGACUGACACUGACGCUGAGGUGCGAAAGCGUGGGUAGCAAACAGGAUUAGAUACCCGAGUAGUC
RNAcentral lists this ribosomal RNA (465 nucleotides) under Vreelandella stevensii. RNAcentral's name for it is "partial 16S ribosomal RNA". It matches the Rfam family "Bacterial small subunit ribosomal RNA", at positions 338 to 795 of the family's 1533-position model. Lineage: Bacteria; Pseudomonadati; Pseudomonadota; Gammaproteobacteria; Oceanospirillales; Halomonadaceae. The record is from RNAcentral.